Clupea harengus (Atlantic herring) is the source of this 1788-nucleotide long non-coding RNA. RefSeq lists it as uncharacterized. The transcript has 2 exons. Lineage: Eukaryota; Metazoa; Chordata; Actinopteri; Clupeiformes; Clupeidae. The record is from RefSeq and is a predicted model, not a curated record.
CAAACCCCUGUCGCUGGUUGCUUAUGGGUGUUCCUGGCUUGUGGUUACUGGGUUAUGGAACUAAAACAAGUAGGCUAGCGUUAGUAAGCUCUGGGAAAGCUGGUUAUUAGCUAGUUAUUGCUAUGUAUUAAAGUUUAGGCUAAAAAAAAGCUUUGUUUCAGCAACGUGCGUGAAGGCAGCGUGCCGUGAAGGUGAGGAGUUUAUAAACACGCACACUCACCUGCUGUGAGUUCUCUGGACAAUGACAUGCUCUAUUUACUCAUGGGCUCAAUCGGACAUUACACAGAUUUUGUUACGUAACAGCGUAAAGUCCAUUCAAUGUCUGGUCCAGUUGAUUUGGACAUUGGGCAUUCUCACAUACAGUUUCUCAGGGUAAUGUCUAGAUAAGUCCAGGGUUGCAGUGUAUGUCUGAAAACGGCUAAAGAAGUGUUCAUUUCAAAACAAUACUACAACUGAAACGAGCUGACACACUGACUGAGAAAUGUUGUGGUCGGGAAAACCAUUGUCGUACUACUCCGAUGUCAGUACUCUACCGUCUGCAGUCAGAGGAACGAUGAUCAUUGAUAGUGAUGGCCUCCCAUCUCUACAAAUGGGAAAUGAGAAUUCUGAAGGACUGUGUCAUAGACGUGACAUUGUACACUAGUGGUACCCAAACUCUCCGGAUAACUUGAAUGUUGUAGCAAUCAAUAACUACUGGUUGGUGGUGCAAAUAAGCUAAACAAAGAUACAGUAAUAAAGUAUGAUAAGACAUCACAAGCUACACUAAUGGAAUGAAAAUGCUCCUGGUCUCCUAACUGAGAAGGUACACAGCAGCCGUCGGGUGUCCAGUGUUACCAUUGAGCAUCAGCCAUCGAUAGAACGCUCGCUUUGAAGUGAACUGAACCUGCUACACCACCCCCGCACUGCGUCAGACGGCAGCGUCUAGAGAGCAUCCAGAUGCAUCUUGAUUCUUGAACCAAUUUCUUGAUGGCUGAGGCUGAGAUCAGCAAUUUUGUGAAAGAAUGGAAAGAAACCACCUAUAGCCUGUCCAAUCAAUCUAUUGACACUGUUUUUUGUCUUGGAUGUUCAUGAUAACCCGCUAUCAACUUCAAAUCAAUAGAUUUUUUUUAAGUAUAAUUGUAAUAUCAGAGAAUAUCAGAGUGUUUAUUUAUUUUUUGACCUACAACAGCCCUUAUUCGUCGUCAGCAAACAUACAAAAGACAUCAGAUGGUGGAUUAUGUAGAAUCUGUUCAAUCCAGUCUGUGUAUUUGAACAUGAAUUAUUGCCUCAAUGUUUCCCAAUUUUAAAACCUUUUACCAUAAGGUUCUAGGGGCUUCCAUAGACUCCAGUGAAAGAAGAAGAAAAAGACGAUGUGUGAUAAUAAGAUAAGGUAGAAACACGAUGGGUGAUAAUAAGAUAAGGUAGAAACACGAUGUGUGAUAAUAAGAUAAGGUAGAAACACGAUGGGUGAUAAUAAGAUAAGGUAGAAACACGAUGUGUGAUAAUAAGAUAAGGUAGAAACACGAUGUGUGAUAAUAAGAUAAGGUAGAAACACGAUGGGUGAUAAUAAGAUAAGGUAGAAACACGAUGGGUGAUAAUAAGAUAAGGUAGAAACACGAUGUGUGAUAAUAAGAUAAGGUAGAAACACGAUGGGUGAUAAUAAGAUAAGGUAGAAACACGAUGGGUGAUAAUAAGAUAAGGUAGAAACACGAUGUGUGAUAAGAUAAGGUAGAAACACGAUGGGUGAUAAUAAGAUAAGGUAGAAACACGAUGGGUGAUAAUAAGAUAAGGUAGAAACACGAUGUGUGA